Molecule: ribosomal RNA, 253 nt
Filed under: uncultured bacterium
Lineage: Bacteria
Description: partial 16S ribosomal RNA
Rfam family: Bacterial small subunit ribosomal RNA
Source: RNAcentral
UACGGAGGGUGCGAGCGUUAUCCGGAAUUACUGGGUUUAAAGGGUGCGUAGGCGGCCCUGUAAGUCAGGAGUGAAAGUUUGCGGCUCAACCGUAAAAUUGCUUUUGAUACUGCGGGGCUAGAAUUAGGAUGAGGUCAGCGGAAUGUGGCAUGUAGCGGUGAAAUGCAUAGAUAUGCCAUAGAACACCAAUUGCGAAGGCAGCUGACUAGACCUGGAUUGACGCUGAGGCACGAAAGCGUGGGGAUCAAACAGG